CAAAGAACUCAAUGGGUUGGUUUCAUCAUCAUCAUAAGGCUUCAACACCACUUCAAUCGCUAAGUCCUUUAAAUUAGGAAUUCUUUUGAGAACUUCCAUUGUACAACUGUUUACACUCACACCAUAAAGUCUAAGGAGCUUGUUCAAGGUAACAUCAUCUGUGUUAGGGGUUGGUAGGUCCCUUCCCCAUAUCUCAAGAUGCUCUAAUUCUUCAAUAUCCCAAAUUUGCACAGGCACAAAAGACUGAACUCCGCGCUUUUUAAUGAUCAUAUGUUCAUGAAUAAUCAAGAAUUGAAGGUUAAAAAGGUUGGAUAUGGAAGGUGGGAGGUCCCCGUUGCAAGUUAGGGCAAGGUACCGCAGACAAACAAGUUUCAAAAUUUCAAUUGGGAUAUGGUAAAAUCGGACUUGAAAAGCAACAAGUACAUUGAGCAACUUGAAACCCAUGGCAUGUAUUGGGACUGGAUAUUGGUGAUAAGGACCGAAACAAAGGAGAGAACGAACAGUGGAUGCACAAUCACUUCUUAUCGAAUCACACACUUGUUUGAAGCAAAAUAAACUAUUCCAAUGGGCACACAAGCGACGCUGGCCUUUUAUAACGUCAUCACAACUUUGUAAGACAUGCAAAAACUUGAUCCUACUAGCUUCUACUCUACACACGUGCUGCCAACAAGAAUGCACACGAUAGUUUCUAUCCCAAAACACAUGUUCAUCCCCCUGUGAUGUAUCGAGAAGAAGAUGAUAAAACAUCGAAAGCUUUUCCAAACAUGUCUUAAAAAAAUGAUCAAAACUUUCUUCUCCACUCGGUUGAAGAAACACAUCAGCACUCAACAUAACAUUGAGCAUGGUUAUAUGGAUAUCCAAAUAUGGAGGGAAAUCCCCCAUAUAGAGAAAAAGCAUUUUUAACUGCUGGGAUAAAUAGUCAUAGCUUGGGAAAAGUACCUCUGAUAUUUGAUUAUAUGCAUCCACAAACACUGAACUAUGUUGUUUGAUGAGUAUCUCAGUCCAGUAUUCUGGGGUCUUGUCGGCUUCUGAUAGGAGCUUUGCAACCGUGACUAUCAUAAGAGGAAGACCUUCACAUUUCUUGGCAAUCUUCUCUCCAAGUUUCUCAAGUUGAAAAGGAAAACCCUCUUCACCAAACACUUUCUCACCAAGUAAUUCCUUACUUUCUUCGACAUUCAACAAGCGCACUUUUUGAUACCCACCCGUCGUGGAUACUAAAUUUAUUCUACUUGUAAGUAAGACUUGAAUCUUUCCACCUAUAUUCUCUUCUAGCAACCAAUUUGUCAAGCGAUCUGCUGCUUGUAUCUCCCAAACAUCAUCCAACACGAUGAGACAUCUCUCAUCCUUCAACUUUUCUUUCAAUUGUUCAACUAAUUUCUCCUCAUCAUCAUCUCCUUGGGUAAGCAGUUCGUAAGCGUUGGGAUCCACUUGAGCUCGAACGCAUCGUAAUAGUUCUUUAGAUUCACAUUUUCUGCCCACUUUCACCCAUGCUCGAAACUCAAAAUGGCUCCGAAUUGAUGGAUCUUCAAAAAUAUGCUUAGCAAGAGUUGUCUUUCCAACGCCCGCCAUCCCAAUAAUCGUAUAGCUUUUAUCUGCAAGAAGAACAUCUCUGGCUUUUUGAAAUUCAUAGAUAAUCCAACCAUCUUUGAUUGAUCCACCAAAAUCAAUUCUUGAGGAAAUAGGCCGCCUUCUUCUUCAGCCAUAUUCUCCAUUUCAUAGUGUAUUCCUCCUCCAUCACUUUAUCUUCUCGACGAAGCAAUCAACAUGGUGUUGCAGACUCUGCAGCUCUACAGGGAAUGACAAGCUGUCUCUCUGGCUUUCGAGUUGUGGAAGAAUCUGAUGUACGACAUGGGAUUCGAGUAAAUCUUCAAACUCCCAAACUACCUCUUUGAUUCGUUCAUCCACAGCAUUCACCUUCAUCCUGAUCUUGCUGCAGCUGGUGUCGUCCAAUUUUAGCAGAAUUCUCUGCAAGCGAUCCAUCUCUUUGUAGACAGGUUGUAAGAUGUGUGGAGAAAUGAGUGGAAUGCGAAACGAUUGUAGAAUACGGUGAAUCGUAUUCUUGAGAGAAGUGGCUGCACCAUAAGCCGCCUUACCCAAAUCAUCUGAGAAUACGAUUUGUGGAGAGGGGGAAGCUAUCAAAACGCAAAAAAAAACCGCAUUCUUGAGAAAAGUCGCUGCACCAUGAGCUGAGAAUACGAUUUGUGGAGAGGGCGAAACAAGGGAAAUGCGAGAUGAUUGUAGAAUACGGUGAAUCGUAUUCUUGAGAGAAGCUGCCGCAGCAAAAGCCGCCAUAUCCAAAUAAUCUGCUGAUCGUUGAAAUAAAAUUGCUUCCACAAACUUAGCUCAAAAAUUUUCCUCCAAAACUGUGCGGUAGAAAUCGCCUAAGAAAGAAACGGAGAAGAAGAAGAAGAAUUAUACUAAUAAGCAAAUGGAGAUGAAACAAAUUAAUGAUACAUCUUUAGCUCUCUGCUGUACCUCUCGUUGGCGCAAGUCGGCGGCGGCGGCAGCUCGUUUUGAUACUGUGAGUCUUAUUUGGCCCAAACCAUCACACCAAAGCCCCUCCUGACAGGCCCAUUCCUUGCCUUCUUAAGCUUCGUUGCCCUAAUUGCUAAGUGAUGGAAAAUGAGCAAAGAAGAGGCAGCUUGAGUUCAAAAUUGGGUGAACCUAUUUCUCUCAGUGAGAUAGAGUGAGAGAUGUGUAUGAUGCAAUGGUAAAAUGGAUGUAUUGAUGAUUUUCAAGGCAAAUUAAGGUGUGGAAGAAUAAUUAUAGGAGCGACAAACAAAUUAAGCAACGGAAGAUUAAUUAUGAAGAAGAUUGAGCAAUAUUCAAGCAGUUGAACAGUUGAUCAAACGUGUUACGAUUGGAUUCAUUCCUUUAGCUGUAUUGAUAUGAUAAGAUAAGAUAAGAUUGAGUCCCUUACUACGACGCCAUAAAUACAAGUCGUGCUUUGCUUUUGCAUGGGGAAUUAGGGCCACUCAUUUCAAUAUUAAACCUACUUUACAUAAAUAUAUUUCAACUCUAUUUUUUUAUAGCAGAAAGAGCGACGUUGUACAUCUUAUUUUAUUUGAUAAGAUAAAAAUAUAUAAAUAUAGUAUCUAUUAUAUUUAAUUUUCAAUUUUAACAAUUUUGAUCUAUUUGAUUCUACAACUAUAAUAAACUCUUUUUAAAAUAAUAAUCAAUAAAUUAAUAAACUCUAUAAAUUAAUAAAUUAAUAAAUUACUUAUGUUCUAACUUGGGUCAAUUCAAAAAAUCAUCAAUUUUAAUAAAACUUUCUCCGUCCGCCAAAAAGUAUGCCACUUUUGCAUUUUUAGCGUCCGUGAAUAGUAUGUUACUUCAUUUUUAGGUACAUUUUUUUAUCAUUUAUUUUAAAAUACCUUAUUAUUUACAAAAAUAAAUAAAUAAAUAAAAAAAUCAGCCUGUAUUCAAUCACAACCACUCAUAUCAUACAAUGGUGGGACAAUUUUUCUCCACUACAUAAAAAUCACCAAUCAUUUUAUUAAAAUCGGUGUCAACCAAAGUGACAUACUUUUUGUGGAUGAAAGGAGUAAUAAUAUUUUUUAGAGAACCCUUUGUAAACAUAUAGGUCCUGUUAAUAUUAUAAAUUAAUAACUUUUAAAAUAUUACAAUUAUGUAUAUUAUGGUAACUUGUUAAAAAUAAACCUAUUGUUGAAUCAUCUUAAUUAACUAAAUUAUUGGGCUGCCAACUUAAUUAACUAAUAUACUUUCUGCUUAAUUAUCCUUAUACAAUUGUGAUUGUCUGCUUAUACUUAAUUUUUGGGCUUAGGAUUUUGAGUUCGGCCCAUGUUUUUCCUUUUCUUUAGAAUUCUUUUUGGGCUUUUGGCACUUCGACCUUUUGUUAUUUGGAUCCUUUCUCGCCCCAUCUUUUUUUCUAUUUAAAGAAAAAAAAANUAUUAGCUUCUAAAUAAAUUCAAACUUGUAUAAUAAAAAACAAAUUGAACUGAAUUGCUUACCAAAUAUUAUAACAUUUGAAAACUGUUUGAUUGAAGGGGAAGAAUGGCAGGAGAAAAAAGAUGGUGAAAGAAAUAUGGUUCAAAGAAAAUUUGCGUGAAAGUAUAUUAUUUAUAAGUGAAUUGUGUAACUGUUGAAGACGUGUGUAAUUUAAAUAAAUUGACUGCUUUAUUUAUUUAUAUCUUUUAAGUUGGUCAUUGUUGUGGGUUGGUGGGAUACAUAUGUGAGUUAAAACUACCGUGACAUGAUGUGAGUUAAAUUUGCCGUUAAAUAAUUAUUAAGAUUUUGUUAAAAAUUUGGCGCUAAAUAUUUUUCUGUUAAACUGCUUCUUUAUAUGAGAUGGAAAUAUGAUAUAUUCAUUCAGAUUAAUUGCAGCAAACUCAUCUCUUCCACCAAUCUGUAAUCAACAUGCACUAUAAACACAGAUUAAGCAGUAUAGAAUAAUUCUUGCUUGCAAACUAAAACAUUCACAAACUAAGAACACAUAAAAUUCAUGCACAAAGCGAAAAUUAUGCAUAACACAGAAAAAUUACAGUCCUUGAAUAAGAGACUAAUGUUUUCACACAAAUCCAACUUACAACAAUUUUUGCUACAAACACAUUCAGCACUCAGUUUCAUAUAUAAUUCUCAACAAAUCACAAUCCUUAAAUCCAUACAACAAUGUGGUAAUACAACAAUUGAAUUCAAAUCAUGGGAUGACGCGGCGUCUGAUCCCUUCGGCUCUCUCAUUUGCCUGAAAAUUUAAAUAUAACAAAAACACAUCAAAAUUUAAAUAAAGCCUAUUGUGAUUUGUUGUGAGACAGAUCGAUAGACAUAGUAAUGGCAUAGGAAGCCAAAAUUGAUCUCAAAUGCAAAAAUAGAGUAAUGGCCAUAUGUAAUAAACAAGCUAGACAUUUUGCUAAUAUGAAUAUCAAUCUCUGAUAAAUGAAACAGAAAUAAGUUAACUCAACUGCUCUGCUCUGAUUCUAACACCUUGUUUGAUCCUCAUAUCAAAAUUUAUCUAUACAGCUGGUUUCUUGCUUUUGAGUCUUAACCAACUAAUUCCUAGUUGAUUUUGAAAUAUGGAGCCAGAAAUUAAUUAUUAUACUGCCGGAAUUUGAGAUUUUUAAGAUAUUUAAAAAACACAUCAACUGAUUACACACAAUUCAAACAAAUGAAAAUCAUGCAUAACAAGUAAUGCUUUCACACAAAUCCAACUUACAACAAUUUCGGUUACAAACUACAUACACAAUUCAUCACUCAGGUUUCAUAGUCCUCAACAAAAUCCAAAGCAAGUCACAAUCCUUAAAUUCAUACGAUAAUGUGGUAAUACAACAAUUGAUAGAGAUGUGACUAUAACAGAAGAUAUAUAUUUAUGACAUGAAUUGAUUUGGUUUGUCUGUGAAAAAAGAGAAGAAGCAGGGAAGAAACAUUAAGACGUGAUAUAUAUUGCAAAGUAGUGAGACUACCUGUCAGGCAAGUUGCAAAGUCACUUGAGCUCAAAAACGAAGAAUAGACCAUAAGUUUAUAGGCAAACUUAUGCUUUAAUUGAUGGGCACAAGCGAAAGCUAAAGGAUUGCACUCCACUAAUUCAAUGGUCGUGAUCGAAGACUGAUCAUCCGACAAAUCAAGUUGUUGCAAUUUGUAGCAGUGCUUCAUGAUUAGUCUACGAAGCCUCGGGAGGCUUCCACGUUGAGGUCUCCAUUGCACCAAAUCGGUGUCUUCAAUUCGAAGUUCAAUAAGAUUCAAAAAACUCCCCGGUUUUAUUUCCCACUCUGGGCCUCGAAAGGCAUAGCAUUUUAAUAUGAGAAGCUCGAGUUUUGGAAGCAGCGAACCAAUGUCAUUUAGAGACCCCCAAGGAUAUCCAACGCCACUCAAUUCUAAAACAGAGAGACUUGAUGGGAACACUGAAAGAUGAAUAAUAGUAGGAAACUCACGCUUUAUCUCGGGAUUCCUGAUUCUAUAUAUAAGUGAUCGCAAAUUCUGAAUUUCUGAUAUAUAACUCAAAGAACUCAAUGGGUUGGUUUCAUCAUCAUCAUAAGGCUUCAACUCCCCUUCAAUUCCUAAUAUUUGUAAAUUAGGAAUUCUUUUGACAACUUCCCAUGUACAACUGUUUGCACUCACACCAUAAAGUCUAAGGAGCUUGUUCAAGGUAACAUCAUCAGUGUUAGGGGUUGGUAGGUCCCUUCCCCAUAUCUCAAGAUGCUCUAAAUCUUCAAUAUCCCAAAUUUGCACAGGCAAAAAAGACUGAACUCCACGCUUUUUAAUUAUCAUAUGCCUUUCAAUAAUCAAGAAUUGAAGGUGAAAAAGGUUGGAUAUGGAAGCAGGGAGGUCACCGUUGUAAGUUAUGGCAAGAAAUCGUAGACAAACUAGUUUGAAAAUUUCAGUUGAGAUAUGGUAAAAUCGGACAUCAUCAGCAUAUAAUACCCUGAGCAACUUGAAUCCCAUGGCAUGUAUUGGGAUUGGAUAUGGGUGAUAAGGACCGUAAAAAAGGAGAGAACGGACAGUGGAUGCACAAUCACUUUUUAUCGAAUCACACACUUGUUUGAAGCAUAAUAAACUGUUCCAAUGGGCACACAACCGACGCUGGUCUUUUAUAACAUCAUCACAACUUUGUAAGACAUGCAGAAACUUGAUCCUACUAGCUUCUACCCUACACACGUGCUGCCAACAAGAAUGCACGUGAUAUUUUCUAUGCCAAAACCAAUAUUCAUCCUCCUGUGAUGUGUCGAGAACAAGAUGAUAACACAGCGAAAGAUUUUCCAAGCAUGUCUUCCAAAAAUUAUCAAAACUUUCUUCUCCACUCGGUUGAAGAAACACAUCAGCACUCAACAUAGCGUUGAGCAAGCUUAGGUUGAUAUCCAAAUAUGGACGGAAAGCUCCCAUGUAGAGAAAAAACAUUUUUAAAUAUUGGGGUAAGUAAUCAUAGCUUGGGAAAAGUACCUCUGAUAUUUGAUUAUAUGCAUCCACGAAGAUUGAACUGCGUUGUUUGACGACUACCUCAGUCCAGUAUUCCGGGGUCUUGUCGGCUUUUGAUAGGAGCUCUGCAACCGUGACUAUCAUAAGAGGAAGGCCUUCACAUUUCUUGGCAAUCUUCUCUCCCAGUUCCUCAAGUUGAUGAGGGAAACCCUCUUCACCAAACACCUUCUCACCAAGUAAUUCCUUACUUUCUUUCUCAUUCAACAAGCGCACUCUUUCGUACCCAUGCUGCGUGACUAUUAUAUCUUUUCUACUUGUAAGUAAGACUCGAAUAUUUCCAUCAAUAUUCUUUUCUAGUAAGAAAUUUGUGAUCAAGCGAUCUGUUGCUUGUCCCUCCCAAACAUCAUCCAACACGACGAGACAUUUCUUAUGCUUCAAUUUUUCUUUCAAUAGUCCAUCUAAUACCUCCUCAUCAUCAUCUCCUUGGGUAAGUGUUUGGUAAGCGUUGGGAUCCACUUGAGCUAGAACACAUCGUAAUAGUUCAUUAGAUUCACAUUUUCUGCCCACUUUCACCCAUGCUCGAAACUCAAAAUGGCUCCGAAUUGAUGGAUCUUCAAAAAUAUGUUUAGCAAGAGUUGUCUUUCCAACGCCCGCCAUCCCAAUAAUCGAAUAGUGUUUAUCUUCAAGAAGAUCAUCUCUGGCUUUUUGAAAUUCAUCAGAUAAUCCAAACAUCUUUGACUUGAUUCCACCAAAAUCACUUCUUGAGGAAAUAGGCUCGCCUUCUUCUUCAGCCAUAUUCUCCAUUUCAUAAGUGUAUUCCUCCUCCAUCAUCUUUAUCUUCUCGACGAAGCAAUCAACAUGGUGUUGCAGACUCUGCAGCUCUACAGGGAAUGACAAGUUGUCUCUCUCGCUUUCGAGUUGUGGAAGAAUCUGAUGUAAGACAUGGGAUUCGAGUAAAUCUUCAAACUCCCAAACUGCCUCUUUGAUUCGUUCAUCCACAGCGUUCACCUUCGUCCUGAUCUUGCUGCAGUCGGUAUCGUCCAAUUUUAGCAGAACUUUCUGCAAUCGAUCCAUCUCAUCGUCGGCAGGUUGUAAGAUUUGUGGAGAGUGGGAAACGAGAGAAAUGCGAGACGAUUGUAGAAGACGCUGAAUCGUAUUCUUGAGAGAAGCCGCCGCACCAUAAGCCGCCAUAUCCAAAUUAUCAGCUGAGAAUGCGAUUGUUGAAAUGAAAUUUGCUUAGCUCUGCAAAUUUCCUCCAAAAUGAAGCUUAAUGUCAACUGCAAUUAGCCCAGAACAAAAUCGUGUUGUAGAAAUUUCCUAAGAAAGAAACGGAGAAGAAGAAGGAAUUAUAAUAAGCAAAUGGAGAUGAAAUAAAUGAUAAAUCUCAGCCCUCUGCUUACCUCUCGGAGGAGUUGGCGCAAGUCGGCGGCGGCGGCAGCUGGUUUUGAUACAAUUUCAGAAAUAUUGAUACAAUCAAUGUUGAUUGAAGGGCAAGAAUUUUAGUAAAUGAUUUGAAGAUCUCUUGAUGAUUUUUUAGGCAAACGUGUGGAAGAAAGAACUGUGGCGCUGAGGAUAAGCUGAACCUUAUCCGAAAAUUCACAAGUCACAACCUUUCACUUCUAUAGUUCUAUUAGGAUAGAUUUUUUAUUUAUUUAUUUUUUUAAAUUUUUUUUUUUUUGUAGUGCAGGUAAACAGCACCUUGAAUAAUGACGGAUGAGCUUGACUCAAUACAACAAGUCGAGCCUCGAGUCAAUAAGGCCUGCGUCGAUUGAUUCGAGACAUUAAUUGACUCGAGUCAAGUCAUCGAGACAGCCGAUGUGUGUGCUCUUAUUUUGUACUCAAUUACAACGUGUUCAUUUUCUCUUAGUCGAUCUUUUCAAUAUAAUACUAAAAUGACGGCUACUCUAGAAAAUAGAAGUCAAUUCUUUUUCUCUUUGUUUCUUUUAAUUAUUGAUAAAAUAAUUUUAAGAUCGUAUAAUUUAUGAAUUUAAAUUUGAAAUAUUUAACUUCAAUGAUUAAUUAUUCUAUUUGUAUGUCUUAUUUGACCCAAUUCGUUGGUGGCCCAAACACACACACCAAAGGCCCAUCUGGCAGGCCCAUCCACGUUAUAACAAUAACAUAGAUGUUACGAACAGUUAUAGGUUUCAUUUAAUAAUAUAAAAAAUAGAAAAUAAACAUUAUGAGGUGAUCAUGUUUUUGUUUCUAACAUAAUUUCAAUGUUCUUCACUUUUCUAUUGAAUAGAAUAAACCAAAUCCAUAAUUGAUUCAACAUCUGCUAUUACACAUAAUAUCAUCUAAAAUGAAACAAAAAAGGAGUAAAACUCCAGCAAUUUAAUUUCUAUAAAUCCAACUACUCAACACACAAAAUCUACAUAACAAUCUCAAUCAUAUGCAAAAGGGAGGGGGAAAAACACAAUAAACAAGCCAGACAUUUCUGCUAAUCUGAAUUAUCAAUCUCUAAGAAAUUGAAACACAAAUAAGUUACAUAUACAAACUACAUACACAAUUCAGCUUUCAAGUUUCAAUAUAGAUGGACAACCUAAACACUGUGACUAUAACAUAAGAUAUAUAUUUCAAUAUUUAAAUAAAAUAAAAACACAUCAAAAUUUAAAAUGAAGCCUAUUGUGACAUGAAUUGACUUGGUUUGUCUAUGGAAAAAGAGAAGAAGCCUAUUGUGACAUCAAAAUUUAAGACUUGAUAAAUAUUGAAAAGUAGUAAGAUUAAGAAGUCCGACAAGUUGCAGAGUCACUUGAGCUCAAAAAGAAGAACGGAUGAUAAGUUUAAAGAAAAACUUAUCCUUUAAUUGAUUGGCGCAAGCCACAGCUAAAGGAUUACACUCCACUAAUUCAAUGCUCUUGAUGCAAGAGUGAUCAUCCGGCAAAUCGAGUUGUUGCAAUUUGUAGCAAUGCAUCAUGAUCAGUGUACGGAGCCUCGGGAGGCUUCCACGUUGAGGUCUCCAUUGCACCAAAUCGGUGUCUUCAAUUCGAAGCUCAACAAGUUUCAAAAAACUCCCCGGUGUUAUUUCCCAUUCUGGGCCUCGAAAUGCAUAGCAUCGUAAACUGAGAAUCUCGAGAUUUGGCAGCAGUGAACCAAUGUCAUUCAUAUACUUCCAAGGAUACCCCAUCCCACUCAAAACUAGCAUUGAGAGACUUGGUGGGAACAUUGAAAGAGGAACAAUAGUAAGAAACUCACGAUUUAUCUCGGGAUUCGUGAUUCUAUAUGUAAGUAUUUGCAAAUUCUGGAGCUGUGAUAUAUAACUCAAGGAGCUCAAUGGGUUGGUUUCAUCAUCAUCAUCAUAAGGAUUCAAAUCCACAACAAUUUCUAAUUCCUUUAAAUUAGGAAUUCUUUUGAGAGCUUCCCUUGUACAACUGUUUGCACUCACACCUAGAAGUGUGAUGAGUUUGUUCAAGGUAGCAUCGGAAUUAGGGGUUGGUAAGUCGCUUCCCAUGAUUUCAAUAUGCUCUAAUUCUAGCAUAUCCCAAAUUUGCAUAGGCAUAUAUGACUGAACUCCACGCUUUUUAAUGGUCAUAUGUUUAAAAAUAAUCAAGAAUUGAAGGUUAAAAAGGUUGGAUAUGGAAGGUGGGAGGUCCCCGUUGCAAGUUAGGGCAAGGUACCGCAGACAAACAAGUUUCAAAAUUUCAAUUGGGAUAUGGUAAAAUCGGACUUGAAAAGC
This 10540-nucleotide long non-coding RNA is filed under the name Salvia miltiorrhiza (redroot sage). Its description in RNAcentral is "long non-coding RNA (SMIL_LNC008068)". The record is from RNAcentral. Lineage: Eukaryota; Viridiplantae; Streptophyta; Magnoliopsida; Lamiales; Lamiaceae.